CCAAGCAGCCGCGGUAAUUCCAGCUCCAAUAGCGUAUAUUUAAGUUGUUGCAGUUAAAAAGCUCGUAGUUGGAUUUUGGGUGCGGCAGGCCGGUCCGCCGUUUCGGUGUGCACUGGCAGGCGGCAUCUUUCUGUCGAGGACGCGCUCCUGGCUUUCAUUGGUCGGGACGCGGAGUCGGCGACGUUACUUUGAAAAAAUUAGAGUGUUCAAAGCGGGCCUACGCUUGAAUAUAUUAGCAUGGAAUAACACUAUAGGACUCCUGUCCUAUUCUGUUGGUCUUCGGGAUGGGAGUAAUGAUUAAGAGGAACAGUUGGGGGCAUUCGUAUUUCAUUGUCAGAGGUGAAAUUCUUGGAUUUAUGAAAGACGAACUUCUGCGAAAGCAUUUGCCAAGGAUGUUUUCAUUAAUCAAGAACGAAAGUUGGGGGCUCGAAGAUGAUUAGAUACCAUCCUAGUCUCAACCAUAAACGAUGCCGACUAGGGAUUGGCGGAUGUUGAUUUGAUGACUUCGCCAGCACCUUAUGAGAAAUCAAAGUCUUUGGGUUCCGGGGGGAGUAUGGUCGCAAGGCUGAAACUUAAAGGAAUUGACGGAAGGGCACCACCAGGAGUGGAGCCUGCGGCUUAAUUUGACUCAACACGGGGAAACUUACCAGGUCCAGACAUAGUAAGGAUUGACAGAUUGAGAGCUCUUUCUUGAUUCUAUGGGUGGUGGUGCAUGGCCGUUCUUAGUUGGUGGAGUGAUUUGUCUGGCUAAUCCCGUUAACGAACGAGACCUCAGCCUGCUAACUAGUCACGGCCUUUCUGAUAAGGCUGGCAGUACUUCUUAGAGGGACUAUUGGCGAUUAGCCAAUGGAAGUUUGAGGCAAUAACAGGUCUGUGAUGCCCAAGGCGAAUCGCGCCGCUAAUCCAGUCGCCUAU
RNAcentral lists this ribosomal RNA (915 nucleotides) under uncultured eukaryote. RNAcentral's name for it is "SSU rRNA". It matches the Rfam family "Eukaryotic small subunit ribosomal RNA", at positions 566 to 1504 of the family's 1831-position model. The record is from RNAcentral.